AUGACUAGGGAUAACUUUAGGAAAAGACAAAUUAUUAAGCCGCUAGAUUGUGUGUUCUACUAUGAGGCUGAAACAUGUUCGCAUUUGUUCUUUGACUGUGUGGUCUCUAGACAGAUUUGGCCUCUGGUCUCAAGUCAUUUCGGGGUGGAUACUGGAACUGACUUUGAAUCGGUGGCCAAAUUCUGGAUUGCUAACAAAAAGCAUGCUGCCCUCAACACUGUUAAUGCUGCUGUACUUUGGUGUAUUUGGAAAUAUAGGAACUCUAUGAUUUUCAAUAACACCUUAUGGACAUCGAUUAAGCAGGUGUUGAGGCUGAUCUUAAAAACUAUCAAGAGCUGGGGGAUACUGUCCUCGGAUGGAGAUGUGGUAAGGCUGGAGGCCUUCACAACACACCUCGCGACUCAUUUGAGACAACCACUGAUGAUCAGUGGCUGGCCCUGA
Molecule: ribosomal RNA, 441 nt
Filed under: Triticum aestivum (bread wheat)
Lineage: Eukaryota; Viridiplantae; Streptophyta; Magnoliopsida; Poales; Poaceae
Description: partial small subunit ribosomal RNA
Source: RNAcentral